This 65-nucleotide transfer RNA is filed under the name Amphioctopus marginatus. Its description in RNAcentral is "tRNA-Cys". Lineage: Eukaryota; Metazoa; Mollusca; Cephalopoda; Octopoda; Octopodidae. The record is from RNAcentral.
GGUUUUAUAUUUUAUAUAAAAUAUUAAAUUGCAAAUUUAAAGAAACAUAAAUUUUGUUAAAACUU